This 460-nucleotide ribosomal RNA is filed under the name uncultured bacterium. Its description in RNAcentral is "partial 16S ribosomal RNA". It matches the Rfam family "Bacterial small subunit ribosomal RNA", at positions 338 to 795 of the family's 1533-position model. The record is from RNAcentral.
CCUACGGGAGGCAGCAGUGAGGAAUAUUGGUCAAUGGACGAGAGUCUGAACCAGCCAAGUAGCGUGAAGGAUGACUGCCCUAUGGGUUGUAAACUUCUUUUAUAUGGGAAUAAAACGUUCCACGUGUGGGAUUUUGUAUGUACCAUAUGAAUAAGGAUCGGCUAACUCCGUGCCAGCAGCCGCGGUAAUACGGAGGAUCCGAGCGUUAUCCGGAUUUAUUGGGUUUAAAGGGAGCGUAGGGGGAUUGUUAAGUCAGUUGUGAAAGUUUGCGGCUCAACCGUAAAAUUGCAGUUGAAACUGGCAGUCUUGAGUACAGUAGAGGUGGGCGGAAUUCGUGGUGGAGCGGUGAAAUGCUUAGAUAUCACGAAGAACUCCGAUUGCGAAGGCAGUUCACUGGACUGCAACUGACACUGAGGCUCGAAAGUGUGGGUAUCAAACAGGAGUAGAUACCCUUGUAGUC